This 515-nucleotide ribosomal RNA is filed under the name uncultured bacterium. RNAcentral's name for it is "partial 16S ribosomal RNA". It matches the Rfam family "Bacterial small subunit ribosomal RNA", at positions 28 to 523 of the family's 1533-position model. The record is from RNAcentral.
GAUGAACGCUGGCGGCGUGCCUAAUACAUGCAAGUCGAGCGAAUGGAUUAAGAGCUUGCUCUUAUGAAGUUAGCGGCGGACGGGUGAGUAACACGUGGGUAACCUGCCCAUAAGACUGGGAUAACUCCGGGAAACCGGGGCUAAUACCGGAUAACAUUUUGAACCGCAUGGUUCGAAAUUGAAAGGCGGCUUCGGCUGUCACUUAUGGAUGGACCCGCGUCGCAUUAGCUAGUUGGUGAGGUAACGGCUCACCAAGGCAACGAUGCGUAGCCGACCUGAGAGGGUGAGCGGCCACACGUGGAUUGAGAGACGGCCCAGACUCCUACGGGAGGCAGCAGUAGGGAAUCUUCCGCAAUGGACGAAAGUCUGACGGAGCAACGCCGCGUGAGUGACGAAGGCUUUCGGGUCGUAAAACUCUGUUGUUAGGGAAGAACAAGUGCUAGUUGAAUAAGCUGGCACCCUGACGGUACCUAACCAGAAAGCCACGGCUAACUACGUGCCAGCCGCCGCAGUAA